CGACGGAAUUUGCUUUCACUGACAUUUUUCUCUUCUUCGCCCUGCAGUGUCAGCACAGCUGAUGGAAGAGAGAACUGGUAGAUGCAUUAUCCCUGGCAUGACAAACCCUGCAGUCCCGUGAUCUCCUCCCCUCCUGCCUCCAGUGACCCCCAUGCAGCCCCCGUCCGCUUCCUAUCAUGACCUUGGUGACACAUAUGCAGCCCUUCUCGCCUUCCCAUCCUGCCCUCAAUGACUUCUGUGCAGACUUUAGGAAACACAACACUCAUGAUACAAACAGUCACACUGAAUCCAUGUGAGCAAAGUCGGGUGUGUUUUUAAGUGUUUGCAGGAUCAGAGUUCACAGUGGAAAGAGUGAAUUGAAUGAAGGAAAGAACAUAAGAACGGCCAUACUGGGUCAGACCAAAGGUCCAUCUAGUCCAGUAUCCUGUCUACUGACAGUGGCCAAUGCCAGGUGCCCCAGAGGGAAUGAACAGAACAGGGAAUCAAGUGACCCAUCCCCUGUUGCCAGUUCCCAGCUUCUGGCAAACAGAGGCUAGGGACACCAUCCCUGCCCAUCCUGGCUAAUAGCCGUUGAUGGACCUAUCCUCCAUGAACUUAUCUAGUUCUUUUUUAACCCUGUUAUAGUCUUGGCCUUCACAACAUCUUCUGGCACACUGAAAAGUUAAAUACAAAAAUUGCCUCUAAUUUUUGUCUUUCAGGAAUCUUAGAUAUUACAUGUAACAGUAGCAGAUUUUUUAAAAUUUGAGAAAGAAGUGGAGGUUUUAUUUCAUUUUAUUUACUGUAUAUUUCAGUACGCAUGAGAAAGCUGACAAAGCCUGAUUCUUCUAACUGAGGAUAGUUGUGUGGCUAAGGUGGCGCACUAGGAUCUAGAAAUCCGGUUAAGGAGUCUGACUGUAGCUAGUUGUUGACCAACAGUAUGGGGAACAUUAUGGUUGCAUAUAGUCAUUUGAUGAUGGAUGUGAGCACAAAAUGGGGAAUUUGGUCUAGCUCUAUUGUGGAAACGUUACUGUUGGGCGUAAGAAAAAAGCUUCUUGUUUUCCAAAGCUUCACCUUGGAGCCGAGUUAAUAUCGACAGUGUCCCUUCAACUUUGAACCAUUAAAAGCUGCGGGUGGGUAUUUUCUCAGAACUAGCAGUGACCACAUGAAAAACAUUAUUAACUAAAGGUCAAAGGUGAGAUUUUCAAACGCUCUCCGCCUUGGCUUCAAUGAGACCAUGAGACCAACGGAGAGCACUUUAGAAAAUGUGUCUCUAAGGGUAUUGAAGUGGAGCUCAGACAAGUGCAUGAAGCCAGAAACCACCAGUUAAUUGCCUACUUUGCUCCUUGGAACUCAGACAUUAUUCAUACCUGACUCCCUACCUCUCCACUGUCCUCCUACAUUCCAGCUCACUCAGUCAACAGGAAACUGGUGGGGUCAUUUCAGCCAACUCAGUGUGAGAGGAGAUCAAAUAAAGAAUGCAAUGGCUCAUAUACA
This 1473-nucleotide long non-coding RNA is filed under the name Chrysemys picta bellii (western painted turtle). Its description in RNAcentral is "lncRNA (ENSCPBG00000013060.1)". The record is from RNAcentral. Lineage: Eukaryota; Metazoa; Chordata; Testudines; Emydidae.